CGGACGGGUGAGUAACGCGUGAGAAUCUGCCUUCAGGAUGGGGACAACAGCGGGAAACUGCUGCUAAUACCCAAUGUGCCGCAAGGUGAAAGAAAUUCGCCUGAAGAGGAGCUCGCGUCUGAUUAGCUAGUUGGUGGAGUAAAAGCCUACCAAGGCGACGAUCAGUAGCUGGUCUGAGAGGAUGAGCAGCCACACUGGGACUGAGACACGGCCCAGACUCCUACGGGAGGCAGCAGUGGGGAAUUUUCCGCAAUGGGCGAAAGCCUGACGGAGCAAUACCGCGUGAGGGAGGAAGGUUCAAGUAAUUGUAAACCUCUUUUAUCAGGGAAGAAAAAAAUGACGGUACCUGAUGAAAAAGCAUCGGCUAACUCCGUGCCAGCAGCCGCGGUAAUACGGAGGAUGCAAGCGUUAUCCGGAAUUAUUGGGCGUAAAGCGUCCGCAGGUGGUAGUACAAGUCUGCUGUCAAAGACCAGAGCUUAACUCUGGGCAGGCGGUGGAAACUGUAAUACUAGAGACCGGUAGGGGUAGAGGGAAUUCCCAGUGUAGCGGUGAAAUGCGUAGAGAUUGGGAAGAACACCAGUGGCGAAGGCGCUCUACUGGGCCGGAACUGACACUAAGGGACGAAAGCUAGGGGAGCGAAAGGGAUUAGAUACCCCUGUAGUC
RNAcentral lists this ribosomal RNA (663 nucleotides) under uncultured bacterium. RNAcentral describes it as "bacterial SSU rRNA". It matches the Rfam family "Bacterial small subunit ribosomal RNA", at positions 99 to 795 of the family's 1533-position model. The record is from RNAcentral.